Molecule: long non-coding RNA, 4158 nt
Filed under: Setaria viridis
Lineage: Eukaryota; Viridiplantae; Streptophyta; Magnoliopsida; Poales; Poaceae
Description: long non-coding RNA (SVIR_LNC009963)
Source: RNAcentral
GGGACCAAGCCUAGCAUUGUGGGAAAGAGUUGGCCCGUUUUCUUAAUUGUGUUCAUCUUAUUCAAUAAAUUUUUAUAACAAUUUUGCAAAUAUUUUAGAAACAUUUUUAUUUAACUUGAUAAUUUCAAAUUAUACACCUUAAACAUUUUUAAAAUGGUCCACUCAGUAAAAGAAGAUUCUAGUUCUAGCUUUGUAUAAGAAAAAUAUUCCAAUGUAAGCAAAAGAUGUCCUAGUCUUACGUGAAAAAUGUUCGAGCUUCAAGAUAAAAUAUUCAAGCCUUAUAGGAAAAAUUUUCCAGCUUCAAAAGAAAUUUCUCCACCUUUAUAAGAAAACGAAGCACGAUGCGAUAUAGCCAAGUUCAUUGUGACGUAUAGCUUUGGUCUCGGAAUCAAUCGGUGUCAUAAAACUACCUAGCCCCAAGCAUUUUGCCUCCACACUCUAUUCCCCUACCACACCACCUCUUUCCACUCAUCUUGUUCUCUCCAUCCAUUGUCACCUCUCACAUUGGAGAUCAACUUCACCAUGCCACUAAAAUCUUUACUUGCGGUCUCACUGGUCUGUAGCGGCAAUGGUGGUUUGCUUUUCAAUUAUGUUUCAUGUCCUACUCUUUCGCCUCCAUAUUCUCAAACAAAAUUUUGAAUCACAAUGAUAGGUCAUCGUACUAGACAAAAGCCUAGCAAAGGGAGUGGCUCAGCACCGAAGACUUGCAGCGAGGCUUUGUACGUCUCGUAGACUUCAGCGAAUUUCCCCUUUAACAAAGCUUCGGCUUCAUUGAUGAGCUUUGUCUUCUCCUCCAGUUCCGGACCCAUUGCUUCGAUGAUUCGCUCUAAUUCACUGAUAGUCCGAGCAUUCUUCUCUGCACCGACGCGAAGUUUCUCAAUAGACUUGGCAUCCUCCUCCAAGCGUUCCUUCAGCUUCGCGUUCUCCUCUUCGAGGCUCUCUCUUUUGUCAUCUAAUUUUUCGUAUUUUUCCCCAAGUUCUCACGUUGUCUUCGCCAGGAGAUCAUUAUUUUCUUUUAGAAGAGAGUUCGACGCUUUGAGCUCCACGUGAAUGUUCUCCAAGAUCUCGUUUUGCUUCUCAAGAGAAGCAACCUUAACUUUCAGCUCAAACACCUCCGCGAGUGCAGCCUUUUCCCGCGAUUCCAUCCUCUCCUUAGCAACGGCAGAUGCAAAAGCAACCUGCAAAAGAGGAAGAAUUACUCAAAGAAACGAAGCCUCCCAGUGAAGAGCUUGAAGAAACAUGGAGAAGCGCAAUCAAAGUUGCGGCGAAGCCAAUAAAAUGAGUCGAGUAAAUCAACAUUGAAGGAAACAAACCUUCUUUUCUAGGCCAACAUUCAGCUUCGUGAGCGCGUCGUCAUCCAAGCUCCGUACCAAUUUCUGUAAAGCAAGCCUAGCAAAACUCACCCUCAUAAUCGGCCAACUUCUCAAUGGCCUCGGCUUCGACCACUGUCUUCCUUCCGCCAACUCCGCUAGCCCCAACCCUCCCACUUUCCUCAGUAACUAAAGCACCGGUCUCGCCGCCAGGCAAUCCCCUCGCAGCAUCUGCGCCAUGACCACCUUCCUUCGCAUCAGACCCCCAAGCCAGUGACAAGUUGUAGGGGUUAUAAACCUCACCUUCGCCAGGCACAUGGGCUGCUAGAAUUUCCUUCCUGAACCCGGUCCCCAGUGCCUUGUUCAUCUCUUUCAAUCUCGAUGGCAGCUCGGAGCCUGCAGCAUAGCGUUUAACCUUUAACCUCACAUGGGUCUCAUCACACGGCUCACCAGGACCACCCAUCGUCCUUUCCAGAUCGCUCAGAAACCCUCGCGAAGCCCCGUCAUACCUAAAAAAGAGAAGUUUAGGCAACCGAACCUCCACAUGCGUACCUGACUUUGUCGCUUCCGAGGGAGGCCCCCUUGAACCCUCUGAAGGUGCACCGGCUAGCCUUUCCUUGUCCUUCGCCAGCUCUGCCAUAAGCUUCUCCUUCUCGGUAAGUGGCCUCUGCGUAAUCUCAGCAGUGCUCACGACAUUAUCGAGCGCCUUUGCAGUAGGCUUUGUUGGAGCGUCAUCCAGAAGAGCACGCACGAACCGAGGCUUGUGGCCGGAUUUUUUAACCUUUGUAGCGGCAGCAGCUCCUGCCUCGGUAGGCUCGGCGAUCGCGCGAGGUGCCCGCACGGCAAUAGGAGCAACCAGCUUCAGUGCACAGCCACUGCUGAAGCCCGGCCCGACCGCCGCCCCCAGGAGCUGCAACUACGUUUGUUGUCGAGUUGGCAGCUAUCGCAUAUUUCACCACCGAUUGUAUAUAGUUCGAAGCUUCCGGCGGAUUCGGUGGCUCGUUUCUUGAGAUUAUUUCAUUGACAAAUCGGCUGGUUAAGCUUGUGCGUCACUACUACAAGAAAAGAUUUGUAGUGCAGGGUAAAAUGUGAAGUCAGUAUUCUUUGUUCGGUUCUAUGUGUUUUGAUAUUGGAAGUCCGGGGUCUUUGUUUAGAGGGUAUAAGUCCACGGUCCUUGUGUGUGGUGAGGAGCCGCCAAGAUCAGAACAUCGCGUAUAGAGCAUCACCGAUCGUGCGGAGUUUAAUGAUGAUUAAAAUAAUUCCAUUCACACACUGAACAGGACAUGCAUAUUUGGCCCAUCCAAUGCGCAGCUUUACGCAUGUAACGCGAAUGCAGGUUACCGCUGAACAGGAUGGGUGGGUCGACAAGGUGCAGUUGGCCUAAGCGCGUCUAUGGAUCAGGCAAUUGCAUGCUUGCAGUGCCGGACACGAUCGAUCGAUGUGUCCCCAACCUCAUGGGUGUCGCACGACGAGACAUUAAUCAUCUAUCUGCCGUUCGCUGAUGGAUUAUCGUUGCAUAUAUAUGCGUCAACCAAGGACAACAAGUAGCUAAAAAAAAGGGAACACGCUUAGAACGAGGGAAUCACUAACCACUAAUGAAAUGAGCACGGCGCCUACAAAAGGCCAUGAUAUUGAAGCAUCUACCCAAGCAACAAUCACUACUCUACCACCAGCAUUAAGCUACAGGCAGAACAAGUUAACGAAGCAGCUAGCCUGGCGUAUCCAUGGCGCCCAAGUCCGCGGCGGCUCUGGUCCUGCUGGCGGCGAUGAUCGCCGGCCUGGCGCCGCCGCUGCAAGCCGGCCCGAUGUCGAUGGGCUCCACCUGGUCGACAAAGUAUAUUGCUCCGGCGACCUUGUGAUGAAGAAUGCGCGCUUUUGCUUCUACAUGCGGCGGCCGACCCAUGGCAAGAAAAGGUUGCCGCUCCGUAUUGCUGCGGACAUCUUCUGGUGGAUGUUAUCUUCGGCGGCAAGGGCAAGCGAUGCACCUGCGGGUUCCGGGCGGCCGCCAAAAAGAUGAGUAUUGAUGUCGACCGGAUGUGCCAUACCACCGCCGGAUCCAAGCUGAAGGAGUUCUGCACGGGGCCAGCCCAUGGUAUAUGAUUGAUCGACCAAGGCGUUCUCUCUCUCUCUCUCUCUGGGCCUUGUUUCUGCUUUACUGGUAAUUUCGUGUCUGAAUGGUUCAGUUUCCCAAUUCGUCCAUUUGCUCGCUCGCUCCUCGCUUGUGUUUUUUCUUUCUCUGCUUGUGCUGUACAUGGUUUGAAUCAAAACUUGUAAUAGCGCUUUAUCUACGCCAAAUUCUGUAGAACCCGAAAGGAAGAUGUUACUGCAUCAAGUACGAAACUACCAAUGUUGUGUUGGAGCCUUUGAGCGACCAAUUGAAAUUCAUGAAAAGCAAUGACGAAUAGGGAUACUUUGGACGAUGAACAAAGAAGCAAUAUCAGAAUUCAGAAGAGGAUCGGAACACAGGAAGAAGAUCAGCGAUGGGAUCGGAUCGGAGGUGCUCACAGCGUGCGAGUUCGAAAAUGUUCCAGCUUCAAGAGAAAUUGCUCCACCUUUAUAAGAAAAAGAAGCACGAUGCGCAUAGCCAAGUUCAUUGUGACGUAUAGUUUUGGUCUCAGCAUCAAUCGGUGAGCUGUCACAAAACAACCUAGCCCAAAGCAUUUUGCCUCCACACUCUAUUCCCCUACCACACCACCUCUUUCCAUUCAUCUUGUUCUCUCCAUCCAUUGUCGCCUCUCACAUUAGAGAUCAAUUUCACCAUGCCCUUAAAAUAGGUACUUGCGGUCUCACUGGUCUGCAGCGGCAAUGGUGGUCUGCUUUUCAAUUAUGUUUCAUGUCCUACUCCUUC